This 378-nucleotide ribosomal RNA is filed under the name uncultured eukaryote. RNAcentral describes it as "partial 18S ribosomal RNA". It matches the Rfam family "Eukaryotic small subunit ribosomal RNA", at positions 592 to 975 of the family's 1831-position model. The record is from RNAcentral.
CAAUAGCGUAUAUUUAAGUUGUUGCAGUUAAAAAGCUCGUAGUUGGAUUUCGGGUGGGACCUGCCGGUCCGUCGUUGCGAUGUGCACUGGCCGGUCCCAUCUUGUUGUCGGGGACCAGCUCCUGGGCUUCACUGUCCGGGACUGGGAGCCGACGAAGUUACUUUGAGUAAAUUAGAGUGUUCAAAGCAAGCCUACGCUCUGGAUACAUUAGCAUGGAAUAACACGAUAGGACUCUGGCUUAUCUUGUUGGUCUGUGAGACCAGAGUAAUGAUUAAGAGGGACAGUCGGAGGCAUUCGUAUUUCAUUGUCAGAGGUGAAAUUCUUGGAUUUAUGAAAGACGAACUUCUGCGAANGNAUUUGUNAAGGAUGUUUNCAUUA